This 75-nucleotide transfer RNA is filed under the name Acidobacteria bacterium ADurb.Bin340. RNAcentral's name for it is "tRNA-Glu". It matches the Rfam family "tRNA". Rfam says of the family: Transfer RNA (tRNA) molecules are approximately 80 nucleotides in length. Their secondary structure includes four short double-helical elements and three loops (D, anti-codon, and T loops). Further hydrogen bonds mediate the characteristic L-shaped molecular structure. tRNAs have two regions of fundamental functional importance: the anti-codon, which is responsible for specific mRNA codon recognition, and the 3' end, to which the tRNAs corresponding amino acid is attached (by aminoacyl-tRNA synthetases). tRNAs cope with the degeneracy of the genetic code in two manners: having more than one tRNA (with a specific anti-codon) for a particular amino acid; and 'wobble' base-pairing, i.e. permitting non-standard base-pairing at the 3rd anti-codon position. The record is from RNAcentral. Lineage: Bacteria; Pseudomonadati; Acidobacteriota. RNAcentral also lists the same sequence under 2 other names.
GGCCCCAUCGUCUAGCGGUUAGGACGCCGCCCUCUCACGGCGGUAGCAGGGGUUCGAGUCCCCUUGGGGCUACCA